CGCGUGGGCGCGCGCUACCUCACGCACGCCAGCGACGACGCGCGCCACGGGCACUGACCAGAAAAGGACGCGGCUCCGGACGACAGCCCCGCGCACAAGAGGGGCGGGGUGCGCAGGCGCUGGAGGCGGCUGCUGGUCACGGCGGAGUGACUUGUGUGGUGUGGUGCCAUGUGGAGUGCCGUGUGUGGUGCCGUGUAGUGCCGUGUAGUGCCGUGUGUGGAGUGGACAGGGUGCGGGCGGCUGACGGUGUGCCGCUCGAAGUGAUAUUCUAUUGCGAAGUUUUAGUUUAACGAUGCAGCUGACUGAAUGAUAGUGAUGCCAAGGUAUACAAAUCAAAAUACUCUUUACACAGACUUUUUACCCGUGUGCUUCCACGUGUUAAGAAUGUAACAAAGCAGCUCAUUUUAACUUAUGUUAUCCUGGUACCUUCAAACGAGUUUUCAUCCAAAUGUAAUAAAUAUUACUCAUCUCCACGUG
Molecule: long non-coding RNA, 477 nt
Organism: Melitaea cinxia (Glanville fritillary)
Lineage: Eukaryota; Metazoa; Arthropoda; Insecta; Lepidoptera; Nymphalidae
Exons: 2
Source: RefSeq, a predicted model, not a curated record